This 253-nucleotide ribosomal RNA is filed under the name uncultured bacterium. RNAcentral's name for it is "partial 16S ribosomal RNA". It matches the Rfam family "Bacterial small subunit ribosomal RNA", at positions 524 to 776 of the family's 1533-position model. The record is from RNAcentral.
UACGGAGGGUGCAAGCGUUAUCCGGAUUUACUGGGUUUAAAGGGUGCGUAGGUGGACAGGAAAGUCAGUGGUGAAAUCUUCGAGCUUAACUCGGAAACUGCCAUUGAUACUAUUUGUCUUGAAUACUUUGGAGGUAAGCGGAAUAUGUCAUGUAGCGGUGAAAUGCUUAGAUAUGACACAGAACACCGAUUGCGAAGGCAGCUCACAAAACUGUAACUGACGCUGAGGCACGAAAGCGUGGGGAUCAAACAGG